This 84-nucleotide transfer RNA is filed under the name Arabidopsis thaliana (thale cress). Lineage: Eukaryota; Viridiplantae; Streptophyta; Magnoliopsida; Brassicales; Brassicaceae. The record is from RNAcentral.
UGUCAGAAGUGGGGUUUGAACCCACGCCCUCUUACGAAGACCAGAACUUGAGUCUGGCGCCUUAGACCACUCGGCCAUCCUGAC